RNAcentral lists this ribosomal RNA (650 nucleotides) under Phloiotrya vandoueri. RNAcentral describes it as "eukaryotic LSU rRNA". It matches the Rfam family "Eukaryotic large subunit ribosomal RNA", at positions 663 to 1265 of the family's 3401-position model. The record is from RNAcentral. Lineage: Eukaryota; Metazoa; Arthropoda; Insecta; Coleoptera; Melandryidae.
GGACCAAGGAGUCUAGCAUGUGCGCGAGUCAUUGGGAUCGUACGCGAAAGACCCAAAGGCGCAAUGAAAGUGAAGGUACGCCUUGCGCGGACCAAGGGAGGAUGGGCGAUCGUUAGCGCGGUCGCCUCGCACUCCCGGGGCGUCUCGUUCUCAUUGCGAGAAGAGGCGCACCAAGAGCGUACACGCUGGGACCCGAAAGAUGGUGAACUAUGCCUGGUCAGGACGAAGUCAGGGGAAACCCUGAUGGAGGUCCGUAGCGAUUCUGACGUGCAAAUCGAUCGUCGGAACUGGGUAUAGGGGCGAAAGACUAAUCGAACCAUCUAGUAGCUGGUUCCCUCCGAAGUUUCCCUCAGGAUAGCUGGCGCUCGUAGCGUACGAGUUUCAUCCGGUAAAGCGAAUGAUUAGAGGCAUUGGGGUCGAAACGGCCUCAACCUAUUCUCAAACUUUAAAUGGGUGAGAUCUCCGGCUUGCUCGAACUCUUGAAGCCGCGAGACUCGAAUCAGAGUGCCAAGUGGGCCAUUUUUGGUAAGCAGAACUGGCGCUGUGGGAUGAACCAAACGCCGAGUUAAAGCGCCUAAAUCGACGCUUAUGGGAUACCAUGAAAGGCGUUGGUAACUUAAGACAUCAGGACGGUGGCCAUGGAAGUCGGA